Molecule: ribosomal RNA, 530 nt
Filed under: Staphylococcus aureus
Lineage: Bacteria; Bacillati; Bacillota; Bacilli; Caryophanales; Staphylococcaceae
Description: bacterial SSU rRNA
Rfam family: Bacterial small subunit ribosomal RNA
Source: RNAcentral
CCUUCCCCUUCGGGGGACAAAGUGACAGGUGGUGCAUGGUUGUCGUCAGCUCGUGUCGUGAGAUGUUGGGUUAAGUCCCGCAACGAGCGCAACCCUUAAGCUUAGUUGCCAUCAUUAAGUUGGGCACUCUAAGUUGACUGCCGGUGACAAACCGGAGGAAGGUGGGGAUGACGUCAAAUCAUCAUGCCCCUUAUGAUUUGGGCUACACACGUGCUACAAUGGACAAUACAAAGGGCAGCGAAACCGCGAGGUCAAGCAAAUCCCAUAAAGUUGUUCUCAGUUCGGAUUGUAGUCUGCAACUCGACUACAUGAAGCUGGAAUCGCUAGUAAUCGUAGAUCAGCAUGCUACGGUGAAUACGUUCCCGGGUCUUGUACACACCGCCCGUCACACCACGAGAGUUUGUAACACCCGAAGCCGGUGGAGUAACCUUUUAGGAGCUAGCCGUCGAAGGUGGGACAAAUGAUUGGGGUGAAGUCGUAACAAGGUAGCCGUAUCGGAAGGUGCGGCUGGAUCACCUCCUUUCUAAGGA